CGGCGAGUGAAGCGGCAACAGCUCAAAUUUGAAAUCUGGCCCUUGGGUCCGAAUUGUAAUUUGUAGAGGAUGAUUUUGGUGCGGUAUCUUCCGAGUUCCUUGGAACAGGACGCCUUAGAGGGUGAGAGCCCCGUACGGUUGAAUGCCUAGCCUCUGUAAAUCUCCUUCGACGAGUCGAGUAGUUUGGGAAUGCUGCUCUAAAUGGGAGGUAAAUUUCUUCUAAAGCUAAAUAUUGGCCAGAGACCGAUAGCGCACAAGUAGAGUGAUCGAAAGAUGAAAAGCACUUUGAAAAGAGGGUUAAAUAGCACGUGAAAUUGUUGAAAGGGAAGGAUUUGUGACCAGACUUUUUCUGGGCGGAUCAUCCGGGGUUCUCUCCGGUGCACUUCGCCCAGUAAAGGCCAGCAUCGGUUUUCGGCGUGGGAUAAAAGCAGUAGGAAUGUGGCUCUCUACGGGGAGUGUUAUAGCCUAUUGUAUAAUACCGCGCUGGGGACCGAGGUUCGCGCUUCUGCAAGGAUGCUGGCGUAAUGGUUAUCAAUCACCCGUCUUGAAACACGGACCAAGGAGUCGAACAUUUGUGCGAGUGUUUGGGUGUUAAACCCUCACGCGUAAUGAAAGUGAACGGAGGUGAGAGCCCUUACGGGUGCAUCAUCGACCGAUCCUGAAGUUUUCGGAUGGAUUUGAGUAAGAGCAUAACUGUUCGGACCCGAAAGAUGGUGAACUAUGCGUGGAUAGGGUGAAGCCAGAGGAAACUCUGGUGGAGGCUCGCAGCGGUUCUGACGUGCAAAUCGAUCGUCAAAU
This 798-nucleotide ribosomal RNA is filed under the name Neopestalotiopsis sp. 'leaficola'. RNAcentral's name for it is "partial large subunit ribosomal RNA". It matches the Rfam family "Eukaryotic large subunit ribosomal RNA", at positions 87 to 910 of the family's 3401-position model. Lineage: Eukaryota; Fungi; Ascomycota; Sordariomycetes; Amphisphaeriales; Sporocadaceae. The record is from RNAcentral.